Molecule: long non-coding RNA, 1222 nt
Filed under: Bos indicus x Bos taurus (hybrid cattle)
Lineage: Eukaryota; Metazoa; Chordata; Mammalia; Artiodactyla; Bovidae
Description: lncRNA (ENSBIXG00000011421.1)
Source: RNAcentral
UACAUUUUGGGUUGUUUUGGCUUUGUUUUAUUUUCUCCCCUUCCUUCUCCUCCCCUUCCCCCCUCCUCUUUCUUCUUCCCUGGUCAUUCUAGGAGCUGGGGCCCCAGCGAUGAACAAGACCCAGGCACCGCCCUCAAGGAGCCCACACUGGUGUUCAAGUGCCAGGCAAGUCCUUCCUUCCUUGAUGAGAGUCAGCGUGCGCAGAGUUCAAUAAACUUGGAGAAGCUCAUUAUUAUUCAUCAACUUCAAAGAGACUGGCCUGGGCCCCUUGGACAGGACUCAGAGCAGUUUCCUAAUCACGGGCAGAAAGAAAAGGAGACCAGGACACAUGGACUUCGAUUAUUACCCUGUCGUAUCACCCUGUGGAUUUUCCAGGUGGUGCUAGUGGUAAAGAACCCUCCUGCCAAUGCAGGAGACCUAAGGGGCAUGGCUUUGAUACCUGGGUUGGGAAGAUUCCCCCAGAGGAGGGCACUGCAACUCACUCCAGUAUUCCUGCCUGGAGAAUCCUAUGAUGGAGGAGCCUGGCGGGCUGUGGUCCAUGGGGCUGCACAAAGUUGGACACCACGGAAGUGACUUAGCAUGCGUGAAUGCAUGACUCUGUAUUGUAGCUUCAUUCCAUUCAGACCUGGAAAGCUCAUCUUGUAACCCAACCAUUUUCCCCUCAGAGUCUGAGCAUGUGGCUUCCCAGUUACCAUGGAUGCUUUUUAAAAAAUGGAGAUUCCUGGUAUCUGCCCCAUAUUCAUUAAAUCAGAAUUUCUGGGGAUGGUUCCACGAACCUGGAUUUUUAGCAAGUUCUUCAGUGAUUUUUAUAGUCUAGAGUUUGGGUAUUUUGGCCCUAACCUCACCAGCCCAGUAUGACUCAUGUACAGUCAUGCUUUGGAUCCAAAAUAUUGAGGAUGAAGUCUUAAGAACAAGCUUAACAGGAAUGCCAUACAUUUUACCCUGUGAAGAUGGACAUUCUGAGGACAAGGAUGAACAAAGGGCUGAUUAUUAGGUUACCAAUUACAUUGACUCUAGAGAUUAUAGGUGGAAACUCCUAUGACUGGUUUCAAGGCUCCCCUUCAUUGACUGUGAUAUAAGAAGAAAUUUCCUGAUCCAGUUUCUCGGAGGGUGAAGAGCUAACUGCCUCCAGCACUGGCGUUCUAUCAGUUAUCCAUUGCCACAGACCUGCUGUGCGACAUACAACUGCAAAACCUCAAUGGCUCACAAUGCAUACUGAGCU